GUGGGGAAUCUUCCGCAAUGGACGAAAGUCUGACGGAGCAACGCCGCGUGAGUGAUGAAGGUCUUCGGAUUGUAAAGCUCUGUUAAUCGGGACGAAAGAGCCUAGUGUGAAUAAUGCUAGGAAGUGACGGUACCGGAAUAGAAAGCCACGGCUAACUACGUGCCAGCAGCCGCGGUAAUACGUAGGUGGCAAGCGUUGUCCGGAAUUAUUGGGCGUAAAGCGCGCGCAGGCGGAUCUGCCAGUCUGUCUUAAAAGUUCGGGGCUUAACCCCGUGAUGGGAUGGAAACUACAGAUCUAGAGUAUCGGAGAGGAAAGUGGAAUUACUAGUGUAGCGGUGAAAUGCGUAGAUAUUAGGAAGAACACCAGUGGCGAAGGCGACUUUCUGGACGAAAACUGACGCUGAGGCGCGAAAGCCAGGGGAGCGAACGGGAUUAGAUACCCCGGUAGUCC
RNAcentral lists this ribosomal RNA (450 nucleotides) under uncultured bacterium. RNAcentral's name for it is "partial 16S ribosomal RNA". It matches the Rfam family "Bacterial small subunit ribosomal RNA", at positions 354 to 796 of the family's 1533-position model. The record is from RNAcentral.